RNAcentral lists this ribosomal RNA (1151 nucleotides) under Dendrographa leucophaea f. minor. RNAcentral describes it as "SSU rRNA". It matches the Rfam family "Eukaryotic small subunit ribosomal RNA", at positions 107 to 1265 of the family's 1831-position model. Lineage: Eukaryota; Fungi; Ascomycota; Arthoniomycetes; Arthoniales; Roccellaceae. The record is from RNAcentral.
CAGUUAUCGUUUAUUUGAUAGUACCCUACUACUUGGAUAACCGUGGUAAUUCUAGAGCUAAUACAUGCUAAAAACCCCGACUUCGGAAGGGGUGUAUUUAUUAGAUAAAAAGCCAACGCCCUUCGGGGCUCCGUGGUGAUUCAUGAUAACUUCACGAACCGCAUGGCCUUGCGCCGGCGGUGGUUCAUUCAAAUUUCUGCCCUAUCAACUUUCGAUUGUUGGGUAUUGGCCAACAAUGGUUACGACGGGUAACGGGGAAUUAGGGUUCGAUUCCGGAGAGGGAGCCUGAGAAACGGCUACCACAUCCAAGGAAGGCAGCAGGCGCGCAAAUUACCCAAUCCCGACGCGGGGAGGUAGUGACAAUAAAUACUGAUACAGGGCUCUUUUGGGUCUUGUAAUUGGAAUGAGUACAAUUUAAAUACCUUAACGAGGAACAAUUGGAGGGCAAGUCUGGUGCCAGCAGCCGCGGUAAUUCCAGCUCCAAUAGCGUAUAUUAAAGUUGUUGCAGUUAAAAAGCUCGUAGUUGAACCUUGGCCCUGGCUAGCCGGUCCGCCUCACCGCGUGUACUGGUCCGGCCGGGGCUUUCCUCCUGGGGAUCCGCAUGGCCUUCGCUGGUCGUGCUGGGGAACCAGGACUUUUACUUUGAAAAAAUUAGAGUGUUCAAAGCAGGCAUCCGCUCGAAUACAUUAGCAUGGAAUAAUGGAAUAGGACGUGUGGUUCUAUUUCGUUGGUUUCUAGGACCACCGUAAUGAUUAAUAGGGAUAGUCGGGGGCAUCAGUAUUCGAUUGUCAGAGGUGAAAUUCUUGGAUUUAUCGAAGACUAACUACUGCGAAAGCAUUUGCCAAGGAUGUUUUCAUUAAUCAGGAACGAAAGUUAGGGGAUCGAAGACGAUCAGAUACCGUCGUAGUCUUAACCAUAAACUAUGCCGACUAGGGAUCGGGCGAUGUUCCUUUUAUGACUCGCUCGGCACCUUGCGAGAAAUCACAAGUGUUUGGGUUCUGGGGGGAGUAUGGUCNCAAGGCUGAAACUUAAAGAAAUUGACGGAAGGGCACCACCAGGAGUGGAGCNUGCGGCUUAAUUUGACUCNACACGGGAAAACUCACCAGGUCCAGACACAAGAAGGAUUGACAGUAUUAAGAGCUNNNUCAUGA